CCUACGGGAGGCAGCAGUGGGGAAUAUUGCACAAUGGGGGAAACCCUGAUGCAGCGACGCCGCGUGAGCGAUGAAGUAUUUCGGUAUGUAAAGCUCUAUCAGCAGGGAAGAAAAUGACGGUACCUGACUAAGAAGCCCCGGCUAACUACGUGCCAGCAGCCGCGGUAAUACGUAGGGGGCAAGCGUUAUCCGGAUUUACUGGGUGGAAAGGGAGCGUAGACGGCUUGGCAAGCCAGAUGUGAAAGGCUGGGGCGCAACCCCAGGACUGCAUUUGGAACUGUCAUGCUAGAGUGUCGGAGAGGCAGGCGGAAUUCCUAGUGUAGCGGUGAAAUGCGUAGAUAUUAGGAGGAACACCAGUGGCGAAGGCGGCCUGCUGGACGAUGACUGACGUUGAGGCUCGAAAGCGUGGGGAGCAAACAGGAUUAGAUACCCUGGUAGUC
RNAcentral lists this ribosomal RNA (440 nucleotides) under uncultured bacterium. Its description in RNAcentral is "partial 16S ribosomal RNA". It matches the Rfam family "Bacterial small subunit ribosomal RNA", at positions 338 to 795 of the family's 1533-position model. The record is from RNAcentral.